AUUGAACGCUGGCGGCAUGCUUUACACAUGCAAGUCGGACGGCAGCACAGAGAAGCUUGCUUCUUGGGUGGCGAGUGGCGAACGGGUGAGUAACAUAUCGGAACGUACCGAGCAGUGGGGGAUAACUAAUCGAAAGAUUAGCUAAUACCGCAUAUUUUCUGAGGAAGAAAGCAGGGGACCUUUGGGCCUUGCGCUGUUUGAGCGGACGAUAUCUGAUUAGCUAGUUGGUGGGGUAAGGGCCUACCAAGGCGACGAUCAGUGGCGGGUCUGAGAGGAUGAUCCGCCACACUGGAACUGAGACACGGCCCAGACUCCUACGGGAGGCAGCAGUGGGGAAUUUUGGACAAUGGGCGCAAGCCUGAUCCAGCCAUGCCGCGUGUCUGAAGAAGGCCUUCGGGUUGUAAAGGACUUUUGUCAGGGAAGAAAAGGGCGGGGUUAAUACCCCUGUCUGAUGACGGUACCUGAAGAAUAAGCACCGGCUAACUACGUG
RNAcentral lists this ribosomal RNA (490 nucleotides) under uncultured bacterium. Its description in RNAcentral is "partial 16S ribosomal RNA". It matches the Rfam family "Bacterial small subunit ribosomal RNA", at positions 30 to 507 of the family's 1533-position model. The record is from RNAcentral.